AUACGUAGGUGACAAGCGUUAUCCGGAUUUACUGGGCGUAAAGGGCGUGUAGGCGGUCUUGCAAGUCAGAAGUGAAAUUCCUGAGCUCAACUCGGGCGCUGCUUCUGAAACUGCAGGACUUGAGUGCUGGAGGGGAUAGCGGAAUUCCUAGUGGAGCGGUAAAAUGCGCAGAUAUUAGGAGGAACAACAGUGGCGAAGGCGGCUUACUGGACGAUAACUGACGUUGAGGCUCGAAAGCGUGGGGAGAAAACAGGAUUUGAUGCCCUGGUAGUCCACGCCGUAAACGAUGAAUACUAGGUGUUGGCAGCCGAAGGCUGUCGGUGCCGCAGCAAACGCAAUAAGUAUUCCACCUGGGGAGUACGUUCGCAAGAAUGAAACUCAAAGGAAUCGACGGGG
This 396-nucleotide ribosomal RNA is filed under the name uncultured bacterium. RNAcentral describes it as "partial 16S ribosomal RNA". It matches the Rfam family "Bacterial small subunit ribosomal RNA", at positions 523 to 918 of the family's 1533-position model. The record is from RNAcentral.